GAUGAACGCUGGCGGCGUGCUUAACACAUGCAAGUCGAACGGAAAGGCUCCUGCUUGGAGGGGUACUCGAGUGGCGAACGGGUGAGUAACACGUGGGUGAUCUGCCCUGCACUUUGGGAUAAGCCUGGGAAACUGGGGCUAAUACCGGAUAGGACGUUGGGUUGGAUGUCAUUGUGGAGAGUUUUUCGGUGUGGGGGUAGCUCGAGGCCUAUGAGCUGCUUGGUGGGGUAAUGGCAUACCAAGGCGUCGACGGGUAGCCGGCCUGGGAGGGUGGACGGCCACAUUGGGACUGAGAUACGGCCCAGACUCCUACGGGAGGCAGCAGUGGGGAAUAUUGCACAAUGGGCGCAAGCCUGAUGCAGCGACGCCGCGUGGGGGAUGACGGCCUUCGGGUUGUAAACUGCUUUCGCCUGGGACGAAGCGCGAGUGACGGUACCUGGUGAAGAAGCACCGGCUAACUACGUG
This 465-nucleotide ribosomal RNA is filed under the name uncultured bacterium. RNAcentral describes it as "partial 16S ribosomal RNA". It matches the Rfam family "Bacterial small subunit ribosomal RNA", at positions 28 to 507 of the family's 1533-position model. The record is from RNAcentral.